UGGGCCUAACUCAACCCCAAAAGCUAGCUUAUGAGGUGAGGAUUGCUCAAGCCAUAUAAGGAGACCAACGACCUCAAAUCCCUCCGAUGUGGGACAACUCAACACCUAUUGGUAUAGCAGGCAAAGGUGGUAUUCAUAGUUACACGCAACAAACCACUGAAUAUUCUAAAAAAAAGAUACUUUACAGGAUGACUACGCACACGGCGCACAUUAGCAUAAAA
RNAcentral lists this long non-coding RNA (221 nucleotides) under Nicotiana benthamiana. RNAcentral describes it as "long non-coding RNA (NBEN_LNC020988)". Lineage: Eukaryota; Viridiplantae; Streptophyta; Magnoliopsida; Solanales; Solanaceae. The record is from RNAcentral.